RNAcentral lists this transfer-messenger RNA (367 nucleotides) under Hyphomicrobiales bacterium. RNAcentral describes it as "Rhizobiales bacterium (bioreactor metagenome) transfer-messenger RNA". It matches the Rfam family "Alphaproteobacteria transfer-messenger RNA". From Rfam's summary of the family: Bacterial tmRNA, also known as 10Sa RNA or SsrA, is named for its dual tRNA and mRNA-like properties. Its role is to liberate the mRNA from a stalled ribosome. Lineage: Bacteria; Pseudomonadati; Pseudomonadota; Alphaproteobacteria; Hyphomicrobiales. The record is from RNAcentral.
GGUCUUUUUUCUUUACGUUCCUGCCUCUAUAUUCGGAGGGUCGGUCGCAAGACCGACUAUGGCGAUAAACGGCCGUCGUAAUAAGCCAUUCGGACCCGGGGGCGGUACCCGGCGCCUCCACCCAAGCCCAGAGGAUCGUUCAGAUCACUGGGUUUCGGCGGGGGCGAAAUAGGAUCGACGAGGGUGUAAAGGACGGGCUUUUGCUCGGCAUGGUUCCGCCGUUAUCGGGCCAAAACGAUAGUUGCGAAUGACAACUAUGCUCCGGUUGCUCAGGCCGCGUAAGCGGUUUGAAAGACCGAUCUUCAAGUCCUGACGUGUAGCAACGGCAGGCGGGGUUCGGAGGCACCUGGCAACAGAAGCCUCCACU